CCUACGGGUGGCAGCAGUGAGGAAUAUUGGUCAAUGGGCGCGAGCCUGAACCAGCCAAGUAGCGUGAAGGAUGACUGCCCUAUGGGUUGUAAACUUCUUUUAUAUAGGAAUAAAGUGAGCCACGUGUGGCUUUUUGUAUGUACCAUAUGAAUAAGGAUCGGCUAACUCCGGGCCAGCAGCCGCGGUAAUACGGAGGAUCCGAGGGUUAUCCGGCUUUAUUGGGUUUAAAGGGAGCGUAGGGGGGUUGUUAAGUCAGUUGUGAAAGUUUGCGGCCCAACCGUAAAAUUGCCAUUGAUACUGGCAGUCUUGAGUACAGUUGAGGUAGGCGGAAUUCGUGGUGUAGCGGUGAAAUGCUUAGAUAUCACGAAGAACUCCGAUUGCGAAGGCAGCUUACUAACCUGCCACUGACAUUGAUGCUCGAAAGUGUGGGUAUCAAACAGGAUUAGAUACCCUGGUAGUC
Molecule: ribosomal RNA, 460 nt
Filed under: uncultured bacterium
Lineage: Bacteria
Description: partial 16S ribosomal RNA
Rfam family: Bacterial small subunit ribosomal RNA
Source: RNAcentral